GGGUUAAAUGUGGUAUAAUCUCCAACUGACAGUUCUCUUUAUUAUUGAAAGUAAUGCAGUAAAAACCUGAUGAAGAAAUGCACUGUACAUCUCCCUCUUUCUAUAAACCCAGUUAACCAUAAUAUUAUAUGACGACUCACUCAUUUAGGACAAUUUCUUGUUUACACAGACAAAAAUGCAACUGCCAAACUAAUUGAUUUCAAAAAGAGUAAAGGAGUGGAGGAUGGUGAUAUCAAGAUCCAAGAAGAAAUCAAGAAAGCUGCUAAUGUGGCAUAUUAUAUCCUCUCUGGGGGAGAGUCUUACCCUCAGUCUGACGGUGAUGGCAGCUGGAGUAACAAGUGCCUCAUCCUGGACCUCAUUGAGGGCAUGAUCCGCUCAGGAAGUCUGGAGUAUGCUCUCCACCACCCCAUCUUCUGGUCCGAGAUCCGACAGACGUGGUACCUGCAGGCUGUGGGGAACUUCAUAAUUCAUAGUAAAUAUGACGAAAGGGUCAAACGGAAACUCAUCAAAGCAUCCAAGGGCAAGUCUUUCAUGACGUGGCGACAAGAGGUGGGUUUAACUGUUAACAUGUAACGAUGUAAAAUUAUUCUUCAUGUCAACUGAUGUUUUUUUUUUUUUAGUGAGUUAAUUUACAAACCCAGGCCCAAAAAAGGUGGGGCAGUGAGUGAAACCUGAAUAAAAACAGAAAGCAGUGAUCAGGACUUUC
This is a long non-coding RNA of Pygocentrus nattereri (red-bellied piranha), 706 nucleotides long. NCBI's taxonomy places the organism in Eukaryota, Metazoa, Chordata, Actinopteri, Characiformes, Serrasalmidae. The record is from Ensembl.